RNAcentral lists this long non-coding RNA (6542 nucleotides) under Selaginella moellendorffii. Its description in RNAcentral is "long non-coding RNA (SMOE_LNC001325)". Lineage: Eukaryota; Viridiplantae; Streptophyta; Lycopodiopsida; Selaginellales; Selaginellaceae. The record is from RNAcentral.
GAUCUUUGCAGUUCUAAACUCUCAUUCGUGAAAAUCUUCAACUUCUUGUGUUGCUUCUCGUGCAGCGUCCUCUUGCUUUGGGUUUGAUCCUCUCCCAGCAGAUUUUCUGUUCGCAGCGGCGUCUCCGGCAGUCUUCAACAAUCGCGCAGCUUGUGGGACCUUUUUCUGCGUGAGAUGCACUGGAAAUGGCUGCAGGAAUGGCAACACCAUCCGAGUGCAGAUCGUGGAUCUUUGCCCGGGCUGUCCAGGUGCUUUUGAUCUCUCCCAAGAGGCAUUUGCACGUAUUGCAGACCCAGCUGUUGGAGUUAUCAGUGUCAACUACAACGCAUGCUAGAUAUCUCUGAUAUCAUGAUCAGUAAUCAUACACAAUAAUUUAUCAAGAGGAUUGAUGAAUCGUUCUCGAUUCUAGCCUUCUUACCCAUACACAAUCGUGAGAGCUUUGAAAUCUUUUCCAAGCUUUAAUGGCGUGGUAUGUAGUGAUCUUACAUGGCAAAGUCUGGGACGUGGAGUUCGAGGCUUCAAGGGAAGAAAUACUGAAAGAUGUCGCACUGAAAGAAGCCACCUUGUGCCAUCAAAGGUUGGGAGUCUGUCAAAACAUUCUCCACGUCAGCCGAAGUCCAAGACCUUGACACAAAAGAUCGGGAGCUUCACUGCAAAUAUGAAGGUGGCAAUGCUGGAAGUGAUUCCGGAAGAGAAAGAAGUUGCCUCAGCUGAGUAUCAAUGUUUGCAAGGUGUUCCUCAAACGUGAAGUGGUAGGUAACUUCAAUGUCAGUGCUGUUGCAAUGAAAACUUUCCAUCUUGUGCAAUGAAAGAUCUUCGUUCAACUCAACAGUUUACAGGAAGGACUUGUAGUUGAGGAUGCGACGACUUGUGGAGAAUCUUGUGCAUUCAGAUAGUGGCCAUGAGCAUUGUAGAGUGUGGCCUUUGAAUGUCCAUUAGAGAUGUCCUUAACAGGCUGUGGCUCGCCCAUUAACUUGAUUCGACCAUUGGCAAUUGUCGGAUUGAGUCACGUUCUCUGCGAGAACGUGGUUGACAACUGCCAGGUUCUCCAGAACCUAGUUGCCAGCUGCCAAUUCUGGAGAACCCUCUCAUCCUCCAAUAAUGUUAUUCCACGUGUCCAUUAAUGGUCUCGCCACAGCCCGUUAAAGCCGUUCCCGGGCACGGCCUUGCUCGUUCCCUCCAGAAGGCGCUUGCCGGGCUAACGCCCGGCUCGCCUGUUCUGGGCGGGAACGUGCUCGCCCUACCCAGGAACUGCCUCAUCUUUCCAAGCUUCCAAAUGGUGAUGCCAUUCACCUUCUUAUGCCAUCCGCAUUCAAGGAUUAUGGAAUCCUUCAGAGGUGUGGAGCCAAGCUGUUGGUAGUCCACCACCACAAAAUCUGCCUAUGAAGGGAGGCCAAAUACUGAAAACCGAACGCCACUGGCAAAUGCCUGUGGGAACCAUAGUGUGAUUAGCAAAUGUCUUCAGGAUUAAAGUGUGCUUUGAGAUGUGAAUAUGUGAUGCUUGGGCAGCUUCCAUGGAGAUGAUGUUGCUGCUUUAACCAGAGUCGACGGGAGCGUCAAGGAUGGGCAAUCCAUGGCUGAAGUCCACUAGUGCAAAGAAUGUGCCAGGAUCUGGAAAAACAGUUUUGUCAAUCAGAUGUACGAACAGGAAAUCUGCUGGAAGAGGAAAGCAAGACGACGCUGCAUGAGGAGCAACACAAGAAGUUGAUCAAGAUUUGAUUGCGGAUGAAAGUUUCUAUAUAAAGAUCUUAUGUAGUUAUGGAGGUGUGUCGAAUGUAGCCCUGCUGGAAAUUCCCUGGGCCACGCUUGGCUCCACGAGUGCCAGGAAAAGCGCGGCGACAAUGACUAGAGCAGCAAAUCCUUUGCUAGAAGUCAUGAGCGAGACUGUUUGAAGAAGAACUGGGGCUGCUUGAGACGAGUAACUCGAGUGUGCGAGGACUUUAUACUCGAGAGACGUGUAUUCUACUUUGAAGUUUCACAGCGGGCCACCAAAAACAACUCUGAGUAAUGGACAUGGGAUUUCUAACACGACUUAUCUCGUAUGUCCUCAAGAUCAGUUAUCUCGUUUCUCCAUUCUAGAGUCGUGUUCAAGUUUACGUAGAAAAGGGUUUUACCGUUCUCUGAGACACGAGCCGUAAGAUUAUCAAGUAAGUCUGUUCAAUUGAAAACGAUGAAGUGCUGGGCUCGUCACGAGCCACAAUAUUAUCCAAUUGAACACGACAUGAAAUCUUUGUUUUGUAUUAAGGCUUAUUCAUAUCAUACUAGUGUUUAGUUUUUCAACAUUGAAAUACGUACUUACUUCGGCUUCUCAUCACGUCCCAAAUGCUUAGCACCUAUGAUAAGUAAGAGAGAUUAUAACAUCACCAACAUAGAUUUCUUUUAUCAUUCUUACUGGUAGUAGUCGAUGUUGAUGACACCGGCAUCUGGGUUUGCAAUUCUUGCAAAUGCCUGCUGGGAGAGAUCAAAGGCACCUGGGCAGCCCGGGCAAAGAUCCAGGAUCUUCACGCGGAUAACAUUGCUGUUCCUGCAGCCAUUGCUCGUGCAUUUCACGCAGUAGUAGCGUCCGCAAGCGGCUCCAUUGCUGUAAAUAGAUGGAGCCGCUGCUGCAAAGCUAUAAUCUGAUGGAAGAGAACCAUAGCCAUAGCAAGCUGAUGCUGGUGGAUCAGAGAAAAACAUUUUUAGUUGUUAUUGUGCAUGAUGAAUUCGUGAAAGCUUAUUAUAAGUUCUUACGCUUGUAUUGGUUGUAGAAAGUGGCUUUGCUUGCGAUUCCUAGGCUUGGCUCCGCCAAGAGCAGCGUGGUGGCAAUGAAGAAAGCAGCAAAGGCUUUGGUAGAAGCCAUGGAUGUAUGGAACAGGAUAAUCACGAACGAGUGUUUGAUGUUGAAAAUAAUCGUGCGAUGGGGAAGAUAAUCGUCAUGUGAUUAGAUGUGUAAAAGUUAAAUUCUGCAAUUCAAGAAAAGAUCUUAUUUCAAAGCCCUUGGCAAACCUAUCUCAAGUUGAAUACUUCAUAAUGAAUUGAAAGUAGAACGAGUGUUCAAGAGACUGUUUGAUGUUGAAGCUUAUCGUGAACGAGUGGUUGAUGAUGAAGAUAAUCCUCAUGUGAUUAUAUUAUAGUUGAGGAAUGAAAGUUCAAAACGAUAUCAAAUUCUGCGAUGCCAGAAUAAUUCAAGACUAGAACAUGAUGCUGGAUGCGUAUAGAAUCUUAUUGCUGGAAGAGCUUAUUUGAAAGCCAUAAAAUUCCGUGUAACCUGUAAAUUCAUUAACACCAAACUUCAAUAAUGCGAGCAGAACCAUUAGAUUAAAAAUAAAUAAGCUGUAAUUAAAGGUAGUUAUUAGAAUUUUUUUAUUGUCAGGAUUCGAACUUGUACAAAGAUUUAUUUGUAUCUUGGCUCACAAAGCUCCCACUUUCUUUCCACCACUCUUCUCGACCAAGGCCUUGUAGCUUCCAGUGUGAAACUUCCCUUCCUUGUCUGUGAAGCCAGAGAGCUCCGUCUGCCACAGCCUCUUCCCAGCUUCAUUCACAAGGUGGCCAUCCUGCCAGAAUCCCCACAGCACCACUCCCUCCACCGCUGGAUGAGCAAACGCUUCGUGCAGCACAGCCUCCAAGUCGUCCGCUCGGACGUGCUCAUUGCUCGAAGACACGUUCAGCAAGCCACAAAGAAUUACCCCCACGGGAAUGUAGACAUGACCUUGGACUCAGAUACCACUGACUGGAGCACCUUAUGUUGUGUAUAUACACUCUCUAUGACGUGAGCUUAAAUAGCAGUAAUGCCACCUCACUGAUCCAGGUGUAGGCUAGAGGUGUGUUUCUUGAUCAUGUCUAUCUUUGUCCAUUGUAACUUCUGCAUAUCUCUUCAUGGUAUCAGAGUUGUAAGGUUUUGAGAGGGAAAUAGAGUCCUGUCAUGGAUAUGAGAGAAUGAUUGGAUGCAGAGGGGAUUCAUGUCAUUGAGAUUAAGAGAGUGUUAAGUAUAUAUGCUUUCUAUGACAUGAGCGUGGUGCCAUCUCAUGUACGCUAGAUCUUGAUCAUGUAUAUUUAGCUAUGACAAUAUAUUCAAGCUAUCCUUGUCCAUCAUAGCUUCCACAUAUCUCUUCACCUUGUGCGAUUGAACUCUCAAUUUGCUGGACGUGUCUCUGAGCUGAGGAGCUCACCUCUCGACCAUCUUCAACGUGGUAGUCAUUGACAAAGAGCCUGACCGGUGGAUCCAGAGCUUGAACAUGUUGCGUGAACCUCGUCACCCAGCCUGCUCUUGUAGAAAUCCCUGUCGUUGUUCACGUCACAGUGUUGGAACUGAAGGCAGGGCUCUCUCUACCACCUGAUCACGUUCUAGAGGUUGCUCUAAGCCUGUCACCCUGGAAGCUUUUAUGGACUCUUCCAGGAUUCAGACAGACUUGAGAAUUUUGCCCACUCAGCAGAGGCAUCUCCUCUUCUCCUCAUAGUGUUAGCAGCAUCUCCGACAGUCUUCAACAAUCUCAGAGCUUCUUCUGCUUGAGAUGCACUGGAAACGGCUGCAGGGAUGGGAACACCAUCCGAGUGCAGAUCGUGGGUGCUGUCCAGGCGCCUUUGAUCUCUCCCAAGAGGCAUUUGCACGAAUUGCAAACCCAGAUGUUGGAGUUAUCAGCAUCAUCUACAACUGAUGCUAAAUGUCUCUGAUAUCCUUCUGAUAUCUCACUCGCACGUGUUUCCAUGAUCAUACACAAUAAACGAUCUAUCAAGAGGAUUGGUAAAUCAAAGGAUCUCAUUUUUGGCUGAUCGAUUCUAGCUUCCCUUCCCACUUAUAAUUGCGAGAGCUUUGAAAUGACCACGAAUACGGAUGUGGUAUGUAACACUGUCAUAAACAUUUGAGAGUAUGCAAUUUUCCCUUGUUUUAAACCAAUGCUUCUAAAAUAAUGGUUUUGAUUUUCACAUAUUUCUUAUGAAUUUUUAGAAAGCCUUUUAAAUUUCUCAAUGUAACUUGCACUUGCCCUUAUCAUAUUGACAUCGCUGUGGAUUGUUGAUCGACUUGCUUCCAGCUGUCUCCUUGUGCCGCAUCUUAGGGCUUGACUCUUAAUCCAGGCCCGGGCCUCCAUGGCACUGAGUUGUCACCCUCAGCACAGAAUGCUCUUCGGGUGAUUCACAGCAGACAUCCAGAAUUUCCAAGACGAUGGCAAUUCCCUUGCCACACCACACACCCAGCCUGAGCAUGCAGGGACUUCCCGUCUGUAGAUGUUAGUCCACUAGUGAUGAGCAAAGCCAAGGUCCAUAACUUUCUAUGAUUGUGUGGGAUUCAGAUGAAGCCAUCAUCAUCUUACCCAUACGAAGAGCUUUACAAGCUCAUUGAAUUAUGCCCCUUGAAGUUUUAAUAUCCUUAUGAAGUUUAAGAACUUCAAGAGGAAAGGAAGAUCUCCAUGCUUUCACGCUCACCUAUAGUGUUUGUGAUUGUGAUGGAAUGUCUACUGCCAUUGUUCACAUAGAUUGUUAGUCCCAAACAACUUGGGGAAUGGCAAUUCUUAAUGCCUACCAGGUUUUCAACCAUGCUUCUUGGAUAUAAUAAGCCAGACGUUAUUAGGCUUUUGCAAAUAUGACAAAUUCCAUUUAUGCAAUUUUCACUUAAUGGAAAAUGGGGCUUAAACUUUUACAAACUAACAUAAACCAACAUAAAUUAACAGUUGGCCAAAACGAAUACUUCUACAGAUGUCAUAAGGAUUAUAUGAAAACAAAGAUAAGAGUCUUUCACGUCGUUUUCAAAUGGAUAGACUUCGAUAAUCUUGCCCGUGACAACUCCAAGUUUUCUAGAGUGAGAUAUACGAAAACUUCGCACCCAAACUCUUCAUCGUUUAGAAUUGGAUAGACUUUCAUGAUAAUCGUAUUGCUCGUGACUCAGAGAGCGGCAAACUCUUUUAUACGUAAACUUGAACACGCCUCUAGAACGGAGAAUCGAGACAACUGAUUUGAGGAAAAACGUGUUGAAAAUCCCACGUCAAUUACGCAGAGUCCUUUUUGGUGGCCCAGGAACUCCGCUGUGAAACUUCAAAGUAGAACAAUCGUUGCAUUCCCGUCCCAGCGAGCUCUUGAGUAUAAAGUCCGAGUUUUCAAUACACUCGUCUCAAGCAGCUCCAUAUCUUCUUCAAACAUUCUCGUUCUUGCUACACAAAUCAUGGCUUCUAGCAAAGGAUUUGCUGCUCUAGUCAUUGCCGCCGUGCUUCUCCUGGCACUCGUGGAGCCAAGUGUGGCCCAGGGAAUUUCCAGCAGGGCUACGUUCUACACACCUCCAUACCAGCGUAAGCUUUUUGCAGUUCUAAACUCUCAUUCGUGAAAAUCUUCAACUUCUUGUGUUGCUUCUCGUGCAGCGUCCUCUUGCUUUGGGUUUGAUCCUCUCCCAGCAGAUUUUCUGUUCGCAGCGGCGUCUCCGGCAGUCUUCAACAAUCGCGCAGCUUGUGGGACCUUUUUCUGCGUGAGAUGCACUGGAAAUGGCUGCAGGAAUGGCAACACUAUCCGAGUGCAGAUUGUGGAUCUUUGCCCGGGCUGUCCAGGUGCUUUUGAUCUCUCCCAAGAGGCAUUUGCAC